Molecule: ribosomal RNA, 479 nt
Filed under: uncultured bacterium
Lineage: Bacteria
Description: partial 16S ribosomal RNA
Rfam family: Bacterial small subunit ribosomal RNA
Source: RNAcentral
GAUGAACGCUGGCGGCGUGCUUAACACAUGCAAGUCGAACGAAGCACUUAAGAUUGAUUCUUCGGAUGACGUCUUUUGUGACUUAGUGGCGGACGGGUGAGUAACGCGUGGGUAACCUGCCUCACACAGGGGGAUAACAGUUAGAAAUGACUGCUAAUACCGCAUAACCCGAUAGGAUCGCAUGAUCCAGACGGAAAAGAUUUAUCGGUGUGAGAUGGACCCGCGGCUGAUUAGCUAGUUGGUGAGGUAACGGCCCACCAAGGCGACGAUCAGUAGCCGGCCUGAGAGGGUGAACGGCCACAUUGGGACUGAGACACGGCCCAAACUCCUACGGGAGGCAGCAGUGGGGAAUAUUGCACAAUGGGGGAAACCCUGAUGCAGCGACGCCGCGUGAGUGAAGAAGUAUUUCGGUAUGUAAAGCUCUAUCAGCAGGGAAGAAAAUGACGGUACCUGACGAAGAAGCCCCGGCUAACUACGUG